UACCUUUGUUUCGUAUCAGGUUCAUUCAAACAACGCAAGUUGUAAUAUGAUUAAAAGGGAACCCGGUGAAAAUCCGGGACUAUCCUCGUAGCUGUAAGUUUCAUGAAGGUUUGUACUCUUUUGCCACUGACAAAUUUCGUCGGGAAGGCGUACAUACCGGAACAAGUCAGAAGACCUGCCGAUACAUGUUUUUUGU
This 196-nucleotide non-coding RNA is filed under the name Bacteroidales bacterium. Lineage: Bacteria; Pseudomonadati; Bacteroidota; Bacteroidia; Bacteroidales. The record is from RNAcentral.